CUAACUAACUAUAUGCUUGGUCGUUACAAAGUUCAAACGGCAAGAUGCGCAUGUCGUUGAGUCGAGAGACAAAUAUUUUCAGAACGAUGACAUGGCAAUACCAAGGACACCGACCUGAAGUUCCUGGACCGGAAGUGGGAAAUUAACAGAGAAACGGCAGCACCUGAAUACUGAGAUGGCAAUACCAGAGACAACCGUCACAACACAUGCCUUUUAUUUUGCCUCUUGCCGGUUGCCGGGCAAAAAUACCCUGAAACUCCU
RNAcentral lists this long non-coding RNA (261 nucleotides) under Populus trichocarpa (black cottonwood). RNAcentral's name for it is "long non-coding RNA (PTRI_LNC001279)". Lineage: Eukaryota; Viridiplantae; Streptophyta; Magnoliopsida; Malpighiales; Salicaceae. The record is from RNAcentral.